This 253-nucleotide ribosomal RNA is filed under the name uncultured bacterium. Its description in RNAcentral is "partial 16S ribosomal RNA". It matches the Rfam family "Bacterial small subunit ribosomal RNA", at positions 524 to 776 of the family's 1533-position model. The record is from RNAcentral.
UACAGAGGUGGCAAGCGUUGUUCGGAAUUACUGGGCGUAAAGGGCGCGUAGGCGGCUCGUCAAGUCCCGUGUGAAAGCCCCCGGCUCAACCGGGGAACUGCACGGGAAACUAGCAGGCUUGAGUUCGGGAGAGGGAAGCGGAAUUUCGGGUGUAGCGGUGAAAUGCGCAGAUAUCCGAAGGAACACCGGCGGCGAAGGCGGCUUCCUGGACCGACACUGACGCUGAGGCGCGAAAGCUGGGGGAGCAAACGGG